GCCGCGUGAGGGACGACGGCCUUCGGGUUGUAAACCUCUUUUAGUAGGGAAGAAGCGAAAGUGACGGUACCUGCAGAAAAAGCACCGGCUAACUACGUGCCAGCAGCCGCGGUAAUACGUAGGGUGCAAGCGUUAUCCGGAAUUAUUGGGCGUAAAGAGCUCGUAGGCGGUUUGUCGCGUCUGCUGUGAAAACUGGGGGCUCAACCCCCAGCCUGCAGUGGGUACGGGCAGACUAGAGUGCGGUAGGGGAGAUUGGAAUUCCUGGUGUAGCGGUGGAAUGCGCAGAUAUCAGGAGGAACACCAAUGGCGAAGGCAGAUCUCUGGGCCGUUACUGACGCUGAGGAGCGAAAGCAUGGGGAGCGAACAGGAUUAGAUACCCUGGUAGUCCAUGCCGUAAACGUUGGGAACUAGAUGUAGGGACCAUUCCACGGUUUCUGUGUCGCAGCUAACGCAUUAAGUUCCCCGCCUGGGGAGUACGGCCGCAAGGCUAAAACUCAAAGGAAUUGACGGGGGCCCGCACAAGCGGCGGAGCAUGCGGAUUAAUUCGAUGCAACGCGAAGAACCUUACCAAGACUUGACAUAUACGAGAACGGGCUAGAAAUAGUUCACUCUUUGGACACUCGUAAACAGGUGGUGCAUGGUUGUCGUCAGCUCGUGUCGUGAGAUGUUGGGUUAAGUCCCGCAACGAGCGCAACCC
RNAcentral lists this ribosomal RNA (697 nucleotides) under Salinibacterium amurskyense. RNAcentral describes it as "bacterial SSU rRNA". It matches the Rfam family "Bacterial small subunit ribosomal RNA", at positions 396 to 1104 of the family's 1533-position model. Lineage: Bacteria; Bacillati; Actinomycetota; Actinomycetes; Micrococcales; Microbacteriaceae. The record is from RNAcentral.